RNAcentral lists this ribosomal RNA (468 nucleotides) under uncultured bacterium. RNAcentral describes it as "partial 16S ribosomal RNA". It matches the Rfam family "Bacterial small subunit ribosomal RNA", at positions 28 to 507 of the family's 1533-position model. The record is from RNAcentral.
GAUGAACGCUGGCGGCGUGCUUAACACAUGCAAGUCGAACGGAAAGGCCGAAGCUUGCUUCGGUACUCGAGUGGCGAACGGGUGAGUAACACGUGGGUGAUCUGCCCUGUACUUCGGGAUAAGCUUGGGAAACUGGGUCUAAUACCGGAUAUGACGAUCUCUUGGAUGGGGUUGUGGAAAGCUUUUGCGGUAUGGGAUGAGCUCGCGGCCUAUCAGCUUGUUGGUGGGGUAAUGGCCUACCAAGGCGUCGACGGGUAGCCGGCCUGAGAGGGUGUACGGCCACGUUGGGACUGAGAUACGGCCCAGACUCCUACGGGACGCAGCAGUGGGGAAUAUUGCACAAUGGGCGCAAGCCUGAUGCAGCGACGCCGCGUGGGGGAUGACGGCCUUCGGGUUGUAAACUCCUUUCGCAAUCGACGAAGCCUUUUGGUGACGGUAGGUUGAGAAGAAGCACCGGCUAACUACGUG